Molecule: ribosomal RNA, 570 nt
Filed under: uncultured bacterium
Lineage: Bacteria
Description: bacterial SSU rRNA
Rfam family: Bacterial small subunit ribosomal RNA
Source: RNAcentral
GAUGAACGCUAACGGUGUGCUUAAUACAUGCAAGUCGAACGGACAAUGUGAAAGUGGCAACACUUUUGCAAAGUCAGUGGCGAACGGGUGAGUAACACGUAGGUAAUCUACCUUAAAGAUCGGGAUAACCUUCCGAAAGGAAGGCUAAUACCGGAUGUUUUAUAUUGAUCUUAUGGUUAAUAUAAAAAAGGUAGCCGCAAGGCCUCCGCUUUAAGAUGAGCCUGCGUCCUAUUAGCUUGUUGGUAAGGUAAUGGCUUACCAAGGCAAUGAUGGGUAGCCGGCCUGAGAGGGUGACCGGCCACACUGGGACUGAGAUACGGCCCAGACUCCUACGGGAGGCAGCAGUAGGGAAUCUUGCGCAAUGGGCGAAAGCCUGACGCAGCGACACCGUGUGAAGGAUGAAGGUCUUCGGAUUGUAAACUUCUGUCAAUUGGAGACGAAGGUAACAGGGUUAAUAGCCUCUGUUACUGACGGUAUUCAAUAAGGAAGUCUCGCUAACUCCGUGCCAGCAGCCGCGGUAAGACGGANGANGCAAGCGUUGUCCGGAAUUAUUGGGCGUAAAGAGCGCGU